AUGGCGGCGGCGCUGCUGACGCCGACGCAGCGCUACGCCGCGGGGGCGCUGCUGGCGCUCGCGCUCCGCCAGGCGCAGAUCCACCAGUCCGUCCUCCUCGGCUCCUCCCCCGCCACCGCCGCCGCGGACGAGGAGGAGCGCGUCAGCAGCGCCAGCGGCGGCAGCGGCAGCGGCAGCAGCAGCUCCACCGGCGGCAGCGGGGAGGACGCCGAAGCCGCCGCCAAGGCGCUCUGGACGCACGACUCCCGCGGCCUCCUCCGCCCCGUCUUCAGGUUCCUGGAGAUCGACCCGGCGGCGUGGCCGGGGCUGGAGGAGACGGCGGCGUCGCCGGAGGCCAAGCACCACAUCGGCGCGUUUCUGAGGAUGAUCUUCCAACAAGACGGCGAGAGCUCUUCGGAUAGCCAGGACCAGGAACACGCCUUGGCCAAAGGAGUUGAUGCCAUGGUGAUGAGCUUGAGCAGUGACACUGCAAAGGAUGAAACAACCAAAGAGGGUGAUCCUCAGAGAAAGGCUUCUACUAGUUCUGGCAUGGCUGAAUCCUCAGAGAAAGGCUUCCCCGCUGAGGACUUGCUGGGAAUCGAUAACUUGUCCCUGGAUGAUGUGCCUGCUACCCAUCACCGGAAGAUGACGCUGCUGUUUACGCUCCUCUCUGCCUGUGUGGCUGAUAAGCCCGUAUCGCAAGAGGAAGACGACAGGAAGUCCUCUCACUUCAGGAAGGGCUACGACGCCCGGCAUCGGGUCGCCCUUCGGUUGCUGGCAACUUGGCUUGAUGUGAAGUGGGUCAAAAUGGAAGCCAUCGAGGUUAUGGUCGCAUGCUCUGCUAUGGCAGCAGCAAAAGAACAAGAACAGUCAGGAGAGAACGCAACACCCAAAAGCAAAUGGGCGAAAUGGAAGCGUGGAGGAAUCAUCGGUGCAGCUGCAUUGACCGGAGGAGCAUUACUGGCUAUUACUGGGGGUUUAGCUGCUCCAGCAAUUGCUGCAGGAUUUGGUGCUCUUGCUCCAACGCUAGGAACAAUUAUACCUGUUAUCGGAGCUAGUGGAUUUGCUGCUAUGGCUACUGCUGCGGGAUCUGUUGCUGGCUCUGUGGCCGUGGCUGCAUCAUUUGGGGCUGCUGGAGCUGGCUUGACGGGCACCAAAAUGGCCAGAAGGAUUGGAAGUGUAAAAGAAUUUGAGUUCAAACCGAUUGGUGAGAACCAUAAUCAGGGUCGUCUUGCGGUUGGCAUCUUGGUUUCUGGAUUUGCUUUUGAUGAGGAGGACUACAUUAGACCUUGGGAAGGAUGGAAGGAUAACCUAGAAAGGUAUAUUCUUCAGUGGGAGUCUAAGCAUAUAAUUGCUGUGAGUACAGCAAUACAAGAUUGGCUGACAUCAAGACUUGCUUUGGAACUGAUGAAGCAAGGCGCGAUGAGAACAGUCCUAAGUGGCUUUCUGGCAGCAUUUGCAUGGCCUGCUACUCUGCUUGCAGCUACGGAUUUUAUCGAUAGUAAAUGGUCCGUUGCUAUCGACAGAUCAGACAAGGCAGGGAAAAUGCUUGCUGAAGUACUUAUGAAGGGGUCCCAAGGGAACAGGCCUGUUACCCUCGUUGGGUUUUCACUAGGGGCUCGUGUCAUAUUCAAGUGUUUACAGGAGCUUGCUUUGUCAAGCGACAAUGAGGGACUCGUCGAGAGGGUCGUGCUCCUAGGUGCACCUGUUUCAGUCAAAGGCGAGAAAUGGGAACCCGCUAGGAAGAUGGUUGCUGCAAGGUUUGUGAACGUGUACUCGAAAGAUGACUGGAUUCUGGGCGUCACCUUCCGUGCAAGCCUGCUCACGCAAGGAUUGGCUGGGAUACAGGCCGUCGAUAUCCCUGGCGUCGAAAACGUUGAUGUUACCGAGCUUGUGGAUGGGCAUUCUUCGUACCUGUCGGCGGCGCAGCUGAUCCUGAAGCACCUGGAACUAAACACCUACUAUCCUGUCUUCGUCCCACUAACAGCGGCAGUUAGCAAGUAG
This 1983-nucleotide ribosomal RNA is filed under the name Triticum aestivum (bread wheat). Its description in RNAcentral is "partial small subunit ribosomal RNA". The record is from RNAcentral. Lineage: Eukaryota; Viridiplantae; Streptophyta; Magnoliopsida; Poales; Poaceae.